Long non-coding RNA from Orcinus orca (killer whale), 2173 nucleotides. RefSeq lists it as uncharacterized. The record is from RefSeq and is a predicted model, not a curated record. The transcript has 3 exons. NCBI's taxonomy places the organism in Eukaryota, Metazoa, Chordata, Mammalia, Artiodactyla, Delphinidae.
AACCUAGUUGUUUUCACCAUUCAGCUUGAAGUGUCAGGUCCGACACUGACCUGGUAUAGUGGUCAGAGUUUCAUAUUGUAUGUGUACUAAUAUAUAACUGAUGAGGGUGGGAAGAAGAGACAGGUUAGAAUGGCAGGGUCCCUUUUACCAGCUCACAAUUACUAUCCAAGAGGACAGUGCCUGGGAUACAGUUUGACCUUAGACAGAAACAUGGUAGCACUGGAUUUACCAUGUAGAGGUGAAAGACAAAGGGUCUUCACUUAGUCCAGUUCUGGACACUAUGAAACAGGUAAACUGCUAGUAAAACCUGAAGGGCUCUCCCACACAUUUUUACCCAUAAUAUUACUGAGACCCAGAGAGCAGGAUUGAAGAGGUAAGAGCAUGGACCUUGGUGUGUGUCAGACGAGCUGUUUUUCUUCUUGGCUCCAAAACUCACUGUUACUGUGGUUUUAGAAAACUGUUAACGCUCCCUAAACCUCAGUUUCAUUAUCUGUAAAAGAGGGUAAGAGAAGCACCUCCUUAGCAAGGAACAUAAGGAGCAAGUUGGAGAAUAUAUAACAAUCAACAAAUGCCGUUGACUGGGGCACUGUGUGUACUCAGCAGAUGUUGAGUUCGUGAUGAUCCAAGUAUACUACCUGGUAAGUAACAUAUGCUGGAUGAUAACGUUUCCUUGCUCGGGUCAGCACAGAAGCCUGGGGUCGGGUAGAUCAACUGAAGUUAGAUGACCCCACCACUUGGUUUUUGAGAACAGCCCCACGGGGAUUUACAGCUUCGGCCCCAUCUCUCAGCCGGAUUUGCAGUGUCAGGCGGACACUGAGCAGGCUCAUUCUGUGCUCAGGUUUCUUUCCCUGUGGGGAUCGAGGAGGGGGAGCCCAAGCCUUGGAUCAGGAAGACAUUCUUGCCGCUCCCUGUGUAAGAUGAUAAUGCCAAGGGUGCCUGGCGCCGAGCAAGGGAACGUGUCCUCCCUCCAAGGCUCCUUGACCCUACGCGAUGACUAGGUGCCUGCUGGUAUUAGACCCUGGGGACUCUCUUGAAAACCCGUGUUUCUCUCCCCUUUUUUCUUUGUUUGUUUAAUUGGCUGUGUUGUACAGUGGGGUACGGGAUGCAUUUCUGCUUCCUGGCAGUGAUUGUUACCGUAAACAAUUUUUCAUAGACUUUUUUUUUUGGAGCAAUUAUAUGUUCAUAGCAAAUUGGGCAGAAAGCACAGAGAAUGCCCAUAUACUCCCUACCCCUCAAACACACACAGCCUCCCCACUAGAGGGUACCUUUGUGACAGUCAGUGAACCUACAGUGACAUGUCAUUAUCACCCAGAUUCCAUAGUUUACUUCAGGGUUCACUCUUGGUGUUAUACCUUCUAUAGGAGUUGUUGACUUUUUACCCCAGAAAUUGUCCCAGGAAAGCCUAUUCCAGUCAUUUGGGGCGAGGCUGGUGAUGCCAAUCUGUUUUCAGAUAACCUGUUUUGGAGAAGAACGUUUAAGAUUGAGUAGAAGUAGAAAAGAAAGAAAGAUAUUAUGGAAGGAAGGAAAGAGAGAGAAGAGAAAGGACCUUCCACUUACCCAGGCAAGUCCCACCCCCAAUCUCUGAAGCUCAUCACCAACAGCGGUUAAUGAUUGUUCUUACCUAAAAUGUCCAUACUUUUCCCCUGUUUCCUAAAUCUGUGUCUAGCAUCUCACAGUGUCUCUGGGCCUUCCUCUUUCUGGAGAGAGAAUUCUACCUUUGAAUCUUUUCCUUGAAGCUUUUUCCUGCACAUCGUCCAGGGCUCCAUGAUGAGGGCCCCAAACUGUGAAAGGGGAAAGUUUUAUUUUGAAAUGGAAGGCUCAGAAAUGGAUGGGGGCAAUUCUGCAGUCUUUUUCAGCACAUAAGAUAACUUAUUUUAAUUGCUCUUGUAAAGUUCUUAUAAGGAAAUCUAAGUCAGCCUCCUGCACUGACAUGAAACUUUGUGGGAAGUUGGCUGCCCCCGGAGCCCCGGGCAACGCUGAGAUGUCCUUCCAAACAGGGACCCGGACAGCUGAAGGGCUCCAGUUACCCAAGACAAUAUUGCACAUCAAUUUGGAAUAUAUUAAAGAAGACACCAAGAUCAAUGAGCUUAUUCAAAAAGAAGAUAAAUCUUGGUGCUGGAAUUUUCUAGAGAAAAGUAUGAAGCGUGCUGCGGCAGGUCCAAACUGAACUCUG